This 499-nucleotide ribosomal RNA is filed under the name uncultured bacterium. RNAcentral describes it as "bacterial SSU rRNA". It matches the Rfam family "Bacterial small subunit ribosomal RNA", at positions 28 to 524 of the family's 1533-position model. The record is from RNAcentral.
GAUGAACGCUAGCGGCAGGCUUAAUACAUGCAAGUCGAGGGGCAGCACGGUUAGCAAUAACUGGUGGCGACCGGCGCACGGGUGCGUAACACGUAUACAAUCUACCUUAAACAGGGGAUAGCCUUUCGAAAGAGAGAUUAAUACCCCGUAAUAAAUUGAACGGCAUCGUUUGAUUUUGAAAGCUCCGGCGGUUUGAGAUGAGUAUGCGUCUGAUUAGCUAGUUGGUGAGGUAACGGCUCACCAAGGCGACGAUCAGUAGGGGAUCUGAGAGGACUAACCCCCCACACUGGUACUGAGACACGGACCAGACUCCUACGGGAGCAGCAGUAAGGAAUAUUGGUCAAUGGAGGCAACUCUGAACCAGCCAUGCCGCGUGCAGGAUGACGGCCCUAUGGGUUGUAAACUGCUUUUAUACAAGAGAAAACCCUGGUACGUGUACCAGGUUGAUAGUAUUGUAAGAAUAAGCAUCGGCUAACUUCGUGCCAGCAGCCGCGGUAAU